RNAcentral lists this ribosomal RNA (393 nucleotides) under uncultured bacterium. Its description in RNAcentral is "partial 16S ribosomal RNA". It matches the Rfam family "Bacterial small subunit ribosomal RNA", at positions 523 to 918 of the family's 1533-position model. The record is from RNAcentral.
AUACGUAGGGAGCGAGCGUUGUCCGGAAUUACUGGGUGUAAAGGGUGCGUAGGCGGCGAGAAAAGUCAGAUGUGAAAUGCCGGGGCUUAACCCCGGAGCUGCAUUUGAAACUUUCCAGCUUGAGUGAAGUAGAGGCAAGCGGAAUUCCCUGUGUAGCGGUGAAAUGCGUAGAGAUAGGGAGGAACACCAGUGGCGAAGGCGGCUUGCUGGGCUUCAACUGACGCUGAGGCACGAAAGCGUGGGUAGCAAACAGGAUUAGAUACCCUGGUAGUCCACGCUGUAAACGAUGAUUACUAGGUGUGGGCGCAAAAGCGUCCGUGCCGGAGUGAACACAAUAAGUAAUCCACCUGGGGAGUACGACCGCAAGGUUGAAACUCAAAGGAAUUGACGGGG